GUGAGGAAUUUUGGACAAUGGGUGAAACCCUGAUCCAGCGACGCCGCGUGAAGGAUGAAGGUCUUCGGAUUGUAAACUUCUUUUGCCUGGGAAUAACGAACUCGUAGAAAUACGGGGAAUGAAUGUACCAGGCGAAUAAGCCACGGCUAACUUCGUGCCAGCAGCCGCGGUAAUACGAAGGUGGCAAGCGUUACUCGGAAUUACUAGGCGUAAAGGGCAGGUAGGCGGUCUCGUUAGUCUGUUGUGAAAGCUCCUUGCUUAACGGGGAGAGGCCAACAGAUACUGCGAGGCUUGAGUAUAGGAGAGGGUACUGGAAUUCCCGGUGUAGCGGUGAAAUGCGCAGAGAUCGGGAGGAACACCAAUGGCGAAAGCAGGUACCUGGACUAUUACUGACGCUCAGCUGCGAAAGCUAGGGGAGCAAA
This 422-nucleotide ribosomal RNA is filed under the name uncultured bacterium. RNAcentral's name for it is "bacterial SSU rRNA". It matches the Rfam family "Bacterial small subunit ribosomal RNA", at positions 354 to 772 of the family's 1533-position model. The record is from RNAcentral.